RNAcentral lists this long non-coding RNA (1281 nucleotides) under Panax ginseng (ginseng). RNAcentral's name for it is "long non-coding RNA (PGIN_LNC011334)". Lineage: Eukaryota; Viridiplantae; Streptophyta; Magnoliopsida; Apiales; Araliaceae. The record is from RNAcentral.
GAGUUAUGAGUUUUAAUACAAAUAUUGUCUUCUAUACAAUAUUCAAACUCAAAAUAAGUCUUCAAUACAUUUAUUAUCACACUAUUUCACAGAAUAGUGAGGACUACAAAUACAAACAUCUGGACCGUCACUUCGUUCCCCGACUAGUCUCAGCUAUAUUCUCAUUUCCUGAAGAGAACAAUGAAAGCAAAGGGGUGAGCUCAACUAGCCCAACAAGAAAUAUUAUGACUAAGAUAAUGUAGAAUAAAUUAUCGUUAGCCUUCAACAGUGUUAAACUGAUAAAAUAUAAUAAACAUCAAGUUUAACUGCAGCGGAACAAACAAUCCAUUAGAAGAGUUAAGUAGAGCAUGAUAUCUACUAUCUUCUAUGAUUUAAAAUGUUUAUCAUCAAUUUUAUCGCUGAGACUCAGCUUAAUAAAUAAUUCACAUCACUGAAUUAUCCAUGUACUACGGGCCAAUGGAGACUUUUACCACAUCAUUUGUAACAUUACAGGUCAUGAUUAUACCGAAUGAUUCCUGGUCAUAACCAUACCAAUCAACAGUCCAUCUAUGCACUACGGGCCAAAGAUGACUUUCAUAACCAUAUAAACAUGAGGAUGAUGACAAUGAUAUAAGAAUUCAAUAAAGUCCAAACUGUCAACAUGAUACUGCUUUGUGGAGUAAAAUUCAAGAAUAAUAUCGUAUCAAAAAUGAUUUGGACAUAAAAGAAAUCAAUUUUUGUCAUGAAUAGUACCCCAGUAUGAAAAGGUUAAAACUUAUCAAGACUGCUCAGAAUAAUAUUUUCAUGAAAAGAUACUGGAUGAAGUGCAAAUAUCAAAGAAUUUUUGAUCAUUUCAGGAAUUAUAGAAUCAAUACUUACCAUAGUAAGUUUAGAGUUAGGAAUCUGAAAUGAACAAUAUACGAAACUGUAAAUGGAUUUUCAACUGUCAUGCGGUAUUCCGCGUAGACAGAUUAUUUCCAUAAUUUAAUACCAAACGAAUACGAAGGGUUAUUCACCAGGCAUGCGGUAGUCCGCGUAAACAGGUUAUUCCCACAGAAUAAUAAAUAAUGGAAUAACAACAGGAUUUCACCAUGCAUGCGGUAGUCCGCGUAGACAGGUUAUUCCAACAGAAUGAUAAAGAAUGGAAUCACAACCCUUACGAGUAUUGAAAGAAAUAACUCUCUUCAUGAAUACGAAAGAAAUAAUACCCCUUAACUUAGUAGGAGAUUGGAUACUGCAAUAGUGUAGUAACAGAAUACUCUUCUUCUUUCUCUCUUAUUCUCUCUAUACUUUCUCUCUCUA